This 611-nucleotide long non-coding RNA is filed under the name Mytilus galloprovincialis (Mediterranean mussel). The record is from RNAcentral. Lineage: Eukaryota; Metazoa; Mollusca; Bivalvia; Mytilida; Mytilidae.
GUGACAAAAGACUGGUAACAGAGAACAAUACAAUAAUAACAUACAUGUUGUAGCUAACCAAUAAUAUCAGAUCUAACUUUCCAUGCACUCUUCAAAUAGUUACAGAGCUUAAUUGUUAAAGAUCUAGAAUUAGCUUUCAACAAACAAGAUAGUUUAAAAAUAGUAGGCCAUGAACAAUAAUAGCGUGGCAAAAACAAUAUUCUAAUUGCCCUAUAUGCUGGACAUACCAAUACAAAAUGGAAUUCAUUCUCAACACAUUGCAUGUUACAACAUACACAAAGACGCAUUUCUCUUGUAUAUCAGAGAAGCGAACCAACUUCAACAUUAAGUUUCAAUGUACCACUUCGUAGUUUUGUAAGAAUGUUAAUAUUAUUAAUGUAGCUAAAAUAAUUCUCAAGACAAAAAUCAAACUUUAUACUUCUAUACACACUUAAUUUCUCACAGUCACAAAUAUCUGCUGACCAUUUUUGUAGAUAUUGAUCUUUAAUGCGUGUCUUUAUAACAUCAAACGAUAUAUCAAUAUUAUUUUGAUCAAUCCAAAUAUGGUUCAUUCCAAGACUAAAUAAAAAAUCACGCACAUUAGAUGCCCAAUUAAUUUUACCAUGAUUUGC